AGAAUCAACGCUGGCGGCGUGCCUAACACAUGCAAGUCGAACGAGAAAGUGGAGCAAUCCAUGAGUAAAGUGGCGACCGGGUGAGUAACACGUGACUAACCUACCCUUGAGUGGGGGAUAACUGAGGGAAACCUUAGCUAAUACCGCAUAAUACCCACGGGUCAAAGGAGCAAUUCGCUCGAGGAGGGGUCGCGGCCGAUUAGUUAGUUGGCGGGGUAAUGGCCCACCAAGACGAUGAUCGGUA
Molecule: ribosomal RNA, 244 nt
Filed under: uncultured bacterium
Lineage: Bacteria
Description: partial small subunit ribosomal RNA
Rfam family: Bacterial small subunit ribosomal RNA
Source: RNAcentral